GAUGAACGCUAGCGGCAUGCCUUACACAUGCAAGUCGAACGGCAGCGGGGGAGAAGCUUGCUUUUCCUGCCGGCGAGUGGCGAACGGGUGAGUAAUACAUCGGAACGUGCCCUGUAGUGGGGGAUAACUAGUCGAAAGAUUAGCUAAUACCGCAUACGACCUGAGGGUGAAAGUGGGGGACCGCAAGGCCUCAUGCUAUAGGAGCGGCCGAUGUCUGAUUAGCUAGUUGGUGGGGUAAAGGCCUACCAAGGCGACGAUCAGUAGCUGGUCUGAGAGGACGAUCAGCCACACUGGGACUGAGACACGGCCCAGACUCCUACGGGAGGCAGCAGUGGGGAAUUUUGGACAAUGGGCGAAAGCCUGAUCCAGCAAUGCCGCGUGUGUGAAGAAGGCCUUCGGGUUGUAAAGCACUUUUGUCCGGAAAGAAAUGGCUCUGGUUAAUACCUGGGGUCGAUGACGGUACCGGAAGAAUAAGGACCGGCUAACUACGUGCCAGCAGCCGCCGUAA
Molecule: ribosomal RNA, 508 nt
Filed under: uncultured bacterium
Lineage: Bacteria
Description: partial 16S ribosomal RNA
Rfam family: Bacterial small subunit ribosomal RNA
Source: RNAcentral